CCUACGGGAGGCUGCAGUAGGGAAUAUUGCUCAAUGGGGGAAACCCUGAAGCAGCAAAGCCGCGUGGAGGAUGAAGGUUUUCGGAUUGUAAACUCCUUUUGUUAGAGAAGAUAAUGACGGUAUCUAACGAAUAAGCACCGGCCAACUCCGUGCCAGGAGCCGCGGUAAUACGGAGGGUGCCAGCGUUACUCGGAAUCACUGGGCGUAAAGAGGGCGUAGGCGGGAUAGCAAGUCAGAUGUGAAAACCUCGGGAUUAACCAUAGAAGUGCAUUUGAAACUGGUAUUCUAGAGUAUGGGAGAGGUAGGUGGAAUGCUUGGUGUAGGGGUAAAAUCCGUAGAUAUCACGAGGAAUACUCAUUGCGAAGGCGACCUGCUAGAACAUAACUGACGCUGAUGCGCGAAGGCGUGGGGAGCGAACAGGAUUAGAUACCCUAGUAGUC
This 440-nucleotide ribosomal RNA is filed under the name uncultured bacterium. RNAcentral's name for it is "partial 16S ribosomal RNA". It matches the Rfam family "Bacterial small subunit ribosomal RNA", at positions 338 to 795 of the family's 1533-position model. The record is from RNAcentral.